This 433-nucleotide ribosomal RNA is filed under the name uncultured eukaryote. RNAcentral describes it as "SSU rRNA". It matches the Rfam family "Eukaryotic small subunit ribosomal RNA", at positions 87 to 549 of the family's 1831-position model. The record is from RNAcentral.
GCGCAAUGGGNUCNUUAAAACAGNUUAUAGNUUUAUUUGCGUAAGCGUUUAUAUGGAUAACCGUUAGUAAUUCUAGAGCUAAUACAUGCUGGUUACGCANUGCGUAGUAUUUAUUAGAUAAAACCCAACGGGGGCAACCCUGUGGAGGAAUCAUAAUAACUUGGCGGACCUCUUGGAGGUGAANCAUUCAAGUUUCUGCCCUAUCAGCUUUCGAUGGUAGUGUAUUGGACUACCAUGGCGAUGACGGGUGACGGGGAAUUAGGGUUCGAUUCCGGAGAGGGAACCUGAGAAACGGCUACCACAUCUAAGGAAGGCAGCAGGCGCGCAAAUUACCCAAUCCUAACUCAGGGAGGUAGUGACAAGAAAUAACAACGCGGGGCUUAGUCUCGCGAUUGGAAUGAGUUAAGUGUAAAAGCCUUUUCGAGGACCCACU